GAAAUGCGAUAAGUAAUGUGAAUUGCAGAAUACUGUGAGUCAUCAAAUGCUUGAACGCAAAUGGCGCCUGUCGAUAAAAAGAAAGGCACACCUGUUUGAGUGUCGUUUUUUUCUAAAAUCAAAAAGAGCUGUAAGUCUUUUUUUGGAGAAUGAGUGUUCCAGUGAAUGGAUCACGUGAAAUGAAAGGGUGACUGUUCGGGGGAGACCCAAAAAACAACAUUGGUAUAGGGUGUUUUCUAAGGCACACUAAAAAGCCAAUCUUUGUGAUUUUUGACUCCCCCAUUUCUCCAGCAAUAUACUAUCCAAAAUCGACCUCAAAUCAGGUGAGAUUACCCGCUGAACUUAA
This 346-nucleotide unclassified non-coding RNA is filed under the name uncultured Acaulospora. RNAcentral's name for it is "sequence contains ITS1". The stretch from base 1 to 105 matches the Rfam family "5.8S ribosomal RNA", at positions 50 to 154 of the family's 154-position model. The record is from RNAcentral. Lineage: Eukaryota; Fungi; Glomeromycota; Glomeromycetes; Diversisporales; Acaulosporaceae.